CGAUGCUUGAAAAGAUGACUGUGCAUGUGUGGAACUGGGGAUGCACAGACAUGCAUGUCACAGUCUAGGAAAGCAGCAGAUACUCCUUGGGGGUUCAGGGUCACAGACGGAGAAUCCCUGGUGAAACCACCUGUUCCCGACAGCCACCACCCUGGCAUUAGGGGCCGGCAUGUAGGGUGAAGGUGAAAGGCAGCCAUCUAGCAGCUACUGAGUACUUACUGAAUGCUGGGUACUGUUCUAGGUACACUGCAUGUGUUAUUGUACAUCUGACUCUCACAGCAAGACUUUGGGACAAGUCCUAUCCUAGUGUGCAGAUGGGAAGCCUAGGGUUCUCACCACACAACUAGGAAACGACAAAGCUGGGAUCCACACCUGCUGAGCAGUGUAAAUCCAUAGCCUGCAUUUUCUCCAUUGAGAAUACGGGAAUUUGAGGAUCCAUGCCUGCUUAACUUCUAGUCUCCCCCACAGUGUGUGUACAUACGUGGCGCAGCGGCAAAGAACCUGCCUGCCGAUGAAGCAGACAUGAGACACAGGGGUUUGAUCCCUGGGUUGGGAAGGUCCCCUGGAGGAGGGCAUGGUAACCCACCCCAGUCCUCUUGCCUGGAAAAGUCAGUGGACAGAGGGGCCUGGCAGGCUACAGUCUAUGGGGUCACAAAGAGCUGGACAUGACUGAGUGACUGAGCACAUGUAUGUAAGUGUGUAUAUGCGUGUGGGGGGCAGGGCACGAGUCUGGGACCACCCUGAGUUUGACGAACUGGAGUUGGCUGCACAACUGAGCAACUGAGCACAUGCCCAUAGAUGGCACUCUGACACUGUCUACUGGCGGCAUGGCUACAGCAGAGAAAGUCACCCCGGAGGCCUGUUGCCCAGAGCCAGCCUGCCUGUCAAGCUUGUCACUGUACCCACAGACCCCCCUGGGGACAGAAGACCAUGGCUGCCAGCUCCCUCCCACUCAGGUUGGACCAGCCACAGGCCCUCCUCAUCUCUGUCCAGACGGCAGCUGGCCCUCUCCAGCCAGAGCAUCCAGUCAUUGUCCAGAGAGGAAAACAGUCACAGCGGGACAUCAUUCAGAAGCACUUCUCAGUCAAAUCAAUUACUGUAAUUAG
RNAcentral lists this long non-coding RNA (1106 nucleotides) under Capra hircus (goat). RNAcentral describes it as "lncRNA (ENSCHIG00000003605.1)". Lineage: Eukaryota; Metazoa; Chordata; Mammalia; Artiodactyla; Bovidae. The record is from RNAcentral.